UCAGUCGUACGGAGCGCGACGGGUUGUCGGAUCGGAGCGAAAAGUCUGACCGGCGACCGGAUAUAGCGUUCGUUCGAUGCAUUUCCGGAGGGUAUGCGCCACGACCGAUGCGACCGGCUAGCGAAUCCGUCGAAUUGAGGUGGAAACCUUUCGGGGUAUUCAUUACCAGUUCGUCGGCUUCUCGCUAGACCGUCGAUUGAGGCAUCGAGUGCCGAACAAAGAACGCCGGCAAAGAGUGCUCGUCUAAGCGGCGGAUAGUCGGCGGAAUAAGCCGUACCUGCUCGCAGGUUAAGUUUAUCUCCGUUCGACUCUUGAAGUCGCGGACGACGUUCAGGCGUUUGGGCGUCGGUGGCGUCCGAGACGGUCAACCGUCCGACCCGUCUUGAAACACGGACCAAGGAGUCUAACGUACGCGCGAGCUAAUGAGCGGAAAACUCAUAAGCGCAAUAAAAGUAAAAGCCGUCUCCGGCGGCGCGGGGUACGAUCCCGGCGUAUUUUCUCGAUACGUCGGGCGCAGUACCAUCCCAUCCUGAUCGCUCGUCGAUAGGGUGGAGAUUGAGUGCAUACGUUGGGACCCGAAAGAUGGUGAACUAUGCCUGAGCAGAGCGAAGCCAGAGGAAACUCUGGUGGAGGUUCGUAGCGGUUCUGACGUGCAAAUCGAUCGUCAGACUU
Molecule: ribosomal RNA, 672 nt
Filed under: Longidorus fasciatus
Lineage: Eukaryota; Metazoa; Nematoda; Enoplea; Dorylaimida; Longidoridae
Description: partial large subunit ribosomal RNA
Rfam family: Eukaryotic large subunit ribosomal RNA
Source: RNAcentral